Myotis daubentonii (Daubenton's bat) is the source of this 5467-nucleotide long non-coding RNA. RefSeq lists it as uncharacterized. The record is from RefSeq and is a predicted model, not a curated record. NCBI's taxonomy places the organism in Eukaryota, Metazoa, Chordata, Mammalia, Chiroptera, Vespertilionidae.
UUUAUAUUAGUUCACACAAACACUCCAUCCAUGCUUUUGUUCCGGCCCUCCGGUCCAGCUUAAGAACCCAUUGUGGCCCUCGAGUCAAAAAGUUUGCCCACCCCUGCUCUAAGGGGUCUAUCGGCAUUUCUCUAAGGCAGUAGAUUUCGCACAUUUCUGGAUUCAGACACAUUGUAAGAAAUGCUUUCUAUUUCAUUAUUCAUUUCACGUGUACAUAUGUCUAACUGAAAUAAAAUUUCCACAAAACAAUACUUACUGCAUGCAAUUCAACUCUAGUUUAUUUAGUUGUUUUUUUUUAAUGGUGGCCAUCACCAUCAUGGAAGGGGGUCAUGGAUAUAUGCCAUUAGCACUUGAGAAACAAAACCUUCUAUCCCCAUACUUAGCCUGGUCAUGGAGAACUGAAAACAUGCCUUACUGUAUACACUAAUAUGAUUUUGCUAUUUCACUGUCUUCAUCAGCAUGACUUUACUUUUCCAGGACUCCCUGCUCAGGGAAAUGGUUCAUUACCAGAACACCCUAAAAAACCCAACAACUAACUCUUCAGUGGAAAGCAUCAACAGAGGUUUUGAAAUGCCCUAGGAUUCUUUAAAUCCCUCACUUCAAAAACAGCAAGCUAUUUCCACCAAUGCUGGACUGUUGUAUUAUGAUCCCUGCCUAAUUCUAAUCAAGUCUUUCCAUUGAAACACCUAUCUCGAACCAAACUUCCAAUUCUCAAGUUCUAACCUUGCCUUCCCUCCCUCUGAGACACCAUGGCUGAAGCUUUGCAAAGAUGGUAUUCUCCUUUACCCAGUAAACAAGAAACACAACUUGUUCAUAUCAACAAGCUAUAUUGGUAAUAUUUGGGGAUCUAGCUUUCCACAUGCGGCAGGGUGCAAUUACAAUAUGGGGUUUAUUGAGGGAAAACUUACAGGCAAGCCGAGAAGUAGAGAGCAGAGUCCCAAUCUCUCCUUGUUCCAUGGCAUAAGCAGUCACAGUUGUUCUGUGUGCACUAAAGCCAAAGUCACAGCAAAGAGGAGCUGCUUGGACAGCAGGCUGACUGUUCCACAGCUAGCACUAAAAGAGAACAGGAACUCUGUGUACACACUGGGAAAAGGGAUAAGUUGAUACCUAGUUUCUCUAAGUAACAAGAAAUGUAUCAAUGAUCUCUCAUAUCAGGAACAAUGUAAGGGAGUGUGCAUGAUCAGGGCCAAAGUCUGCAUACCCAGGGCCCUAGGAAGAAUCUUGCUUAUCAGAAAUGCUGACAUUAGCCAAAGGACUUGUCUUUCCACAGCUGGCUCAGUAUAGCAUAGCCAACUCUCAGCUAAGCUACUGAAAAAGAGAAUGAAAUGAAGCUCGAGAGAUAUCCAGAUUUGUCUCUCAUCAAUCACCCUAAAAGAUUCCCCAAAUAACUAUUGUGUUGCAACCUGCAGUUCACAAAACACUCUUCUGGCUUCCCUCCCUCCCUAGCUGAAGCCAAGGAUGCCAAUAAAAACUGCUACUGUGCAUAACCUAAGCCUUACUGGGAAACAGUAAACCUAAAUAGAUACAAUCAGCAGCUUUUUCUACAUUGUGGCCAAGGCUCCAUAGAGUCACAUGGUAGCUGCCAAUGAAACUGAAGCUGCAUCUCAACAAUAGCAGUAUGUUAAUGAUGUCAUAUUUCUCCACAUUUACAUCCCAAACCUCCUUUGUCCCUUAUUACCCAAGCAGGCAAGCACUGUUAUUGUGCAGAGGAGGACCUCAAAGUUUAGAGGGGUAAAAACCCCCAGAAAAACAAACAAACAAAAAACACUGUUCUGUCCUGGCCAAUGUGAGCAUCGUACUGUGCACCAAAAGGUGGCAGGUUCGAUCUCCGGUUAGGGUUAGGGCAUGUGCACGAGGCAACAGGUCAAUGUUUCAUCUCUCUCUCUCUCUCUCUCUCUCUCUCUCUCUCUCUCUCUCCCUAUCUCCUUCCUUCCAUCCCCCCUCUCUCCCCCUUCCUCUCUCUGAAAUCAAUUUAAAAAACAAAAACACUGUUCUCAUGGGAUGAUUAAGAUGUUCAUUAUAUUGAUUGUGGCCAUGGCUUCAAGAAUGUAUUCAUAUACCAAAACUCAUCAAAUUUUACACCUUCAACACAUGCAGUGUAUUGUGUAAAAGUAUAUCCCAUUAAAGCUGUGAAAAUUAAUAAAAGGAAUAAGUGGAGUAGAGGGUAUAGAUGCAACAAGAAUAGUUAUAUGUUGAUAAUUGUUAAAGCUACUUUUGCUUGUUUUUGAAAAUUUCUUAAAUAAUUUUAAAAUGAAUUUUACCAUACAGAUAUGAAAACAAUUCAAAAACACACACCAAAGAACCUGUUCUGAACCAUGGUUGCACAGUUAUUAUAAGGAGAGUGGAAAGUGAAAGUAGCUCCAAAGUUCAUGCAGAAACAAAUUCCUUGAGAGGCUUCUGUUACCUUGGUGAAAUAAUUUCUAACAUCCUAAGGGCAAAGAAGAAAUAUGGGGACUAAGUGGUAUUAAUGUAUUCACUAAUUCAUUGAAGAAAUAUUAAUUGAGCACCCAUAUGUCCCAGGCACUCUUCUAGAUACUGGGAAUGCAACAGUGAAUGAGCAAGUCCUGGCCCUCAUGGAGCCUACUACAUUCCAAUGUAAGGAGAGAGAUAACCUACAAUAAAACAAAUACUGGCUGAUAUAAUUUCAGGUAAUGAUAAGGGCUAUAUUAAAAAUAAAUAAGUACAGGGAUAAGAGAGUAUCAAGGAGUUCAGGGAAGACCUCUUCAAAAAAGGCUCAAUCUAGAGUUGGGAGGGAAACACUGGAAAUGGAGACAGAGGAAGGAACAGGAAAAGAGGGUUAAAUAUUAGAAAUGAAUGUACUUACUGGAUAUUAGAAGAAAAGUGCUAAAGAUAAGGGAGAUAUGGCUCAAGUAAAAUGUGUUAGAGCAUCUGCUCUUACCCCUACUAAGAGAAGUGAAUAAAUACAGGGCUUUGGGAGACUAUGUCCUAAAGGAUUGGGGCUCAGGAGUCUCGUCCCAGCACAGGCCUGAGACCCUUAGGGAGUACCCAGAUCUCUUCAUUCUGGGCUGGUUCUGUUAGAGUUGAAAUAGCACGUCUGGUUUCUGGUUGGUCACCUUUCUGUGUGUCAUUUUUCAUCUGUUCAAUAACAGCUGUGCCCUAUGUUGCUCAGCAGUUGAUCUGUAUAUUAGGUCAGAAAGCCAGAGCUUAGGGGCUUGGCAUUAAGGAACUGAGUUCUUUACUGACUGACCAUGAUUAAGGCACUGCUCCACUUGUGGGAGUGUGACCUUAGAUGGGUCCUCGAUACUAUUGCCAUGCCUACUACUAUCUUAACACCUGCUAAUUUUAUAUCAUUUUAAUUAUAUUCUUCCAAACAGGUUUCUAUUUACAGAUUAUGUAAAUUGUCAUUAACUAUGUAAAUCUGACCGUAUAAAUAUUGAGAUAUUUUGAAUAGUCCUUUUUGUGGUAAUCAUCCUUCCCAUCAUUCUCAUAAUGUGUGUUGAUAUGCUAUUAUAUGUCUUUUCCUGCACAUAACCAAAUAUUCCUAUGCAUAGAUGUACAUAUUAUUUAUUUUCUGAAAUGGGAUCAUGAAGACUUUUUUACAUAUUCUCUUCAAUAAUAUUGCAUUAAAACCCCUUCAAGUCAUCUAGUAAAGCUGCAGUUAUUUCUUUUUAACGCUGCAUAAUAUUCCCUUGUGAGUUGAUACUGUUAUUUUAUUUUUUUCAGUACUGUAAUUUUUUCAACUGCCCCUUGUCACUGGUGUGGGAGUACAGCUACUCAGACACCAGGUAUUAGACAAAGACAUGAGAAGUCUCAGGCAUGUACUAGUACAGAAGAGACUUUAUUGUAGACUGAGUAGCCAUUACUACUAUAGGAGCCAUCAGACAAAGUCGUUCUUCAAAGUAGCCGCACAAAAGCAGCCAUGCAACAUGGCCUAGCCACCUGGCUGGUCAGUGGCAACUUAUAUACAUGCUCAAACAAAAGAGUCCUCGAUGCCAAUUAGUGAUACACACUGAAACAGAAGAGGCCUUGUGCCAAUUCAUGCCACUUGUGCUACUAGUACAUUGACAUAAACAGGUUACAUCCUCGCCUGCACACAUGGGUAUGGCAAAUAGGCCUUUAUCAUCUGGCAUAUUCUGAUUAGGUUCCCACAACUGGUCAUUCACUUUGUUACCAAUUUUUUGCCACUAAGAACUAUGAUGCAAGAACAUUCUUGUACAGAUUUGCUGGAGAAGCAGUACUGCAGUACGUAACUCACACAGCUGUCCCUGGUAGCCCUGCUAGGAAGGGGAGACAGAUUCUAGAUAAAAACAAACAAACCCUGACAUGUACUGUUUGUUGAUUUACAUGCUUUAAAUAUUUUCUUCAUAGCUAAUUUCAAGCUACCAAUGUGAAAUCACUGAAUGCAGAGUUGGGAAGAGAUGUACACAACUGGCUCCAACUUGUAUAAACAAGCUCCAGGACAUCAUCGUGAUGACUAACAAGAAAUGUGGAGUUCUUUACUUGGUUUUUAUUUGUUAACUUCUUUUCAUGGCAGGAAGAAAAACCACAUCCUUACUAGUAGUGUAGAUUUCUACACUGCACAAAUCUACAUGGCACCAUUCACAUCUACAUACAGAAAGUUGUACAAAGUGCAACUGUUCUCAGGUGGUCCUGAGGCAGAUUAGUAAAAAACUAGGAAAAUUCCCUGGCAAGUGGAAGGAGGACACAGAGACAAAUGGCUGAACAAACAACCACAACAGACUCAUCCUUAAAAUUUUUCCUGCUUAAGUCAAGAACCUGGAGGUCGCCUGACACCAAAGGUCCCAGACCUUGCAAGGUGUGGACAAAAGGGGCCACCUGCUAACCUGACAAGCUCAGGGGAGGCCUGCAUGGCAGUCUUGCAAACUCGGAAACCUAAAAUAACCACAAAGGAUGGUCUGUAAUUAAACUUUAACUAAAAGCAGUUAUGGUGGGCAGUUACAUCCUAGGCCAGUAUCUUCACUGACAAGGUUGACCUUUACCUUAACUGAGCCUAUCUGUCUUUUUGCAUCUAUGAUAACAUACCCUUUAAGUGUCUGGGUAACUUGUAACUUCCCUUUUUCUGGACCCCUUGGGGCACAACCAAAUGUACUGGGCGCCAGGACAGAUAAUGUGAUGGGCAUACACGCUUAGCGUCAUAUAGUGAAAUGGGUAUAGAUAUGUAACCUUUAAUUGACAUAAAGAAAAUUUUGUAACUUCUUUGUACCCUAUGUAUCAGGAACUUGAUGUUAAUCUGUACUUCUUGGAGGCCCGGACAUGCUCCAGCCAGGUGUGACACCAAUUUCCAUUGAGCUUGUUAAAGGAAUAGGUUGUGGUUAAAUGCUCCAGCCAGGUGUGACACCACACCGGUUUCCAUUGAUGGUUAACACCCUUAAAUAGGCUCCAAGAGAAAGGCUCGGGGCUGCAGCAGGGUGGGGCUUCCUAUGGGGGCACCUGUGGCAGUCGCUGGCCAGCUUUCAAUAAAUCCUCGCUUGCUGCUAAGACCUAA